CUAAAGCUCCAGGUGUCCAUGGUUUCAGGCAUGUUUUUGCAGUUUUGAUCGGUUUAGUCUCUUCCUUAGCUGGUGGAGUGAGUUAUUGUUUUUUAAGGGCUGCAGCAAAGGCCUCUGGCCAAUCUAUGUUGCAUUGUUCUAGUAAUGGGAUACAGGAUCAUCACGAGUAGCUCUGUCAUUUGGUAAAGUCAUUGGAUGUUUUCUUGUUAUUGUUUUAACUUGUUGUACCGUAUGUUUUAGACAAGAAAAAGGAAUUGGAGUGAGGUGUGCUUGGCCUAUGACCUGUAUACUUUGAACAGACCAGGCGUGUAAAUGAGCCGAGCUACUCGAGCUCGGCUCGAAACAAGUCAGAGUUUUCGAGCUUAAACGAGGCCAAGCCCGGCCCAAACAAAAUAAGCUUGUUGAGUAAAAGAGCCCGAGCUUCACUUAUCGAAGUCUAGCUACCUCGCGAUCCUAAACGAGUCCAUUACUUUUACUAUUUUUAACUAAUGUAUUAAAUUAUAAUCAUUACUAUUUAAAACUAUGAAAUUUAAUAUUAGUUAAAAGUUGUAUAACUAAUAAAGAAUUGUAUUAAAUUAAAAUAAUUACUAUAUUAACCCCUAGGACUGCAAACGAGUCGAGCCCGGACUUGAUUAGACUCAAGCUCGAGCUUAUUUAACUUAGAAAGCCUGAGGUCGGCUUUUAGGUAGUUUUCAAACUCGGGCUUGGCUAAUUAAUUUAUGUAAAUUAUAAAUGUUAUUUAUAUAUAAUAUAGUUAUAUUUUAUAAUUUUUUUUUUAAAAAAGUAAUUAUUAUAAUUUAAUAUAUUAGUUAAAAAUUGUAUAAAUAAUGGACUCGUUUUGGCUCACGAGGUGGCUAGAGCUCGAUAAGUGAAGCUUGGGCUUGUUUACUCAACAAGCAUAUUUUUAAGUUUGGGCUCGAUCUCGACAUUGUUUAAGCUCGACUAGUUUCGAGCUAAGCUCGAGUAGCUUAACUUGUUUACACCCCUAAGUACUUUGAUCUUUGCUGAUGUUGAAUUUAAAAUUUAUUUGAAUAAAUUAUGGAGAAGGCUCCAAUUUUAGACUUCUCUUUAGGCCUCUAAAAUGGUUGAGUCGCCCUUGAAUUGAUAUGGUAUGUUUGCUUUUAUGCUUGGUCAAUGAAUUUUUUAUUGGAUGAAUUUAUGCAUCUUAUGAUUUGUAGCAUGAAGAUAUAGAUGGUGAAGAUAGGUUCUUCGAUUCCUCUAUAAUGUCUUUCUUGCUAGUUUCUAAAAGUGCACAAGCAUAUUUCUAGUUCAUGAAAAGGUAAUGGUUUUGGAUUUGCUGAAAACUGAUAAGGUUAGAUUUUGUACGAUUGUCACAACUCACUACUGGUUACUUUUACUUGAAUUGCAUCCUUUUGAACUUGAUUCUUAAACUAGAAAAGUGACUUUAUUUUUCUUUAUUGACAUUAGAAAUACAAUUUGUAUUGACAUUAAAAAUACAAUCUGUUACUUGAAAUUCAUGAGUGAUGGCAGUGGUGGAUAUCUUCCACAGUUAACUUGGGCUGCAUCAACGGCAUCUACUACUAUCCACAAUUUGCGAGUGUUGUAUACCAUAAUGAGGACUAGCAGGGGUAGAUAUUAUGAGAAGCUUUAGAGCUGACUUUUAUGACAAUGAAAUUCUCACCAAAAGGAACUUAUAGACUUUUCGUGUAAACAUUAGAAUUUGGAAUAUGUUACUCAUUACACAACGU
Long non-coding RNA from Helianthus annuus (common sunflower), 1709 nucleotides. RefSeq lists it as uncharacterized. The transcript has 4 exons. The record is from RefSeq and is a predicted model, not a curated record. Lineage: Eukaryota; Viridiplantae; Streptophyta; Magnoliopsida; Asterales; Asteraceae.